Molecule: long non-coding RNA, 426 nt
Organism: Rhipicephalus microplus (southern cattle tick)
Lineage: Eukaryota; Metazoa; Arthropoda; Arachnida; Ixodida; Ixodidae
Source: RefSeq, a predicted model, not a curated record
CGACACAUGAAAUUGCACAUACGCUCAGUGCCGAUCACGAUGGUGUUGGCAACUCAGCGAACUGCGCUGCCAACGACGGUUACAUUAUGACUCCUAUCGAUUCAGGAAAAAAGCGUGACGAUUUCUCAGUGUGUACGAAAAAUGCAAUCGCCACUCACUUGAGAAAGCGCCAAUCUGCGUGCCUGACACGUCUAACAUCAAGACAUAUUUCGCCGAUUCUGCCAAAGGCACGCUCCGUGGAAGAAAAAUGAUCUGCAACCUCAAUGCUGUUUUAAAGGACAACACACAUGAAUGGUUGACCGGCAAAAAAGUUCCAGAAUGAAGGGCGUCGUACCUGGUUUCGAGGCGAAUUAAGACCUCAAUUUAACUUUCUUACUGCACAUAGCACACACCUAAUGAAGCACGAUGACUGCCUGUAUCAAGCAG